This 1156-nucleotide long non-coding RNA is filed under the name Mus spicilegus (steppe mouse). RNAcentral describes it as "lncRNA (ENSMSIG00000002256.1)". The record is from RNAcentral. Lineage: Eukaryota; Metazoa; Chordata; Mammalia; Rodentia; Muridae.
ACCCGUUCACUGUUCCUCUUGCCACUGCUCACUGACCGUUUCACGCUAUUUUCCCAUUUGCAAAGCAGGAAAAUUAGCUCUACCUUAAAUGGGUGCUUCUGGGCACAGAAUGUUUAAUGGGCUCGUUUUCUUGUCUUUUAGGGUUGUUUAAGCCUGAGGUUAAAACAGCAUGGUGAUAAAGUCCACUAAUGUAUGAAAGGGAUUUGAAAGUUAAGUCUUCUAUAGAAGAUAAGCUAACAUGGGUCUCAGUCACGGCUGUGUAUCAGGAAGUAAAACCAGGCGAGCCUUGACCUUUAAAAGGAAGCACUACCCCUUUGUCCAAGUGCCUUAUAACAUGUCUUUAUAACUGGCUGUGUGAGAAUGAAGAAAAGCUGUCCAUCUUCUGAGAAGCCCACUUCUCCACCAAGGUGCUCAGUUUUAGGAGUGGAGAACAGGGGUCACGGAAAAUACAUUGCUCCCCAGCUCCCAGCUCUCUUUGCUUUCUCCCAGGAAGCAGCAUGUGCCAUCCUUCUGUCAGAAAACACCGCAGAGAUGAAGAAAUGAGAACUCCAGAAACCAAAGACCUUGCUCUUUUGUCAAACAGACUUGGUAGAGCAGAGUUGCAAAAUCAGACCUUCGGGGCUUGCGUGUUUCUCCUCUUACUCCCUGGUCAUCCUGAGCAAGAUUUGAAACAAUGGCUCUGGCAGACAGACAAAAGAAGGGAGCUUGGCGCUGUUCCCAUAAAUGCUACUGCGUCCUUUCCUCAGUGAAGCUGCUGCUCUGCACUGGAAUCUCACACUCAGCUUAAGAAAGUCAAGUGAUACAGAUUUGAGCCAUCAAUCAUACUGUGGAAGCUAACUCAACUACCCAGAACUUGAUUUAUGGGAAAGAAAGGGUUUCCAAGACAACUUGAAACCAUGGUUGAUGUAAUGGUUAUUAUGCCCCUGAAAUACCAAUAUAGCCUUUCAUCUUUUUCUGAAAGUAUUAUUCUCAUAAGGAAAUUAUAACACCUAAAGGCUUCAGUGUCAUUCCUAUUGUUUCAUUUGUCUCUGUAUAAUAAUUAUACUAGUGGGUGCCAUUUUUUAAUUCCUAGCUUAAGUCACAGAGACUUGACUCUAGGGCACUCCUCCACUUCUGUUCAAACUGUACAGCCCUCAGAAUGUUGCUCAUAUUUAAG